AACGAACGCUGGCGGCGUGCCUAACACAUGCAAGUCGAACGAGAACGUCGGGUCUAGUGGCGCACGGGGGCGUAACGCGGGGGAAGCUGCCCGUGGGUUCGGAAUAACUCCCCGAAGGGGGAGCUAAUACAGGAUAAGGUCAUCGGACCAAGGAUUUAUCGCCUUUGGAUGGGCCCGCGAUGGCUUAGCUAGUUGGUAGGGUAAAAGCCUACCAAGGCGACGUUCCAUGGCUGGUCGGGGAGCAUGCCCCGUCACACUGGGGCUGCGACACGGCCCAGACGCCUACGGGGGGCUGCAGUGGGGAGUAUUGGGCGCGGGGCCAUAGUGUGGCCCCGCCGCGCCGCGGGUGUGGUCCUGGCGUUAGUGUUGUAAAGCUCUUUUUCCCGAGAUGUUAAUGACGGUACCGGGUGAAUAAGCUCCGGCUAACUCCGUG
RNAcentral lists this ribosomal RNA (433 nucleotides) under uncultured bacterium. Its description in RNAcentral is "partial 16S ribosomal RNA". It matches the Rfam family "Bacterial small subunit ribosomal RNA", at positions 28 to 507 of the family's 1533-position model. The record is from RNAcentral.